Anoxybacillus flavithermus is the source of this 129-nucleotide non-coding RNA. NCBI's taxonomy places the organism in Bacteria, Bacillati, Bacillota, Bacilli, Caryophanales, Anoxybacillaceae. The record is from Rfam.
AAAAAAAAUGCCCUGUGGCAUAUGCCGCAGGGACCCUUCCAUUCUUUUUCGGACGAGCCGAAAGAGAAGGAAAAAGGGAGAGGAGAAACCGGAGGAAGAACUUAUGGGGAACGUAAGUCUUCUCCGUGG